RNAcentral lists this long non-coding RNA (469 nucleotides) under Nicotiana benthamiana. RNAcentral describes it as "long non-coding RNA (NBEN_LNC023885)". Lineage: Eukaryota; Viridiplantae; Streptophyta; Magnoliopsida; Solanales; Solanaceae. The record is from RNAcentral.
GCGGAAGAAACUGCAGGCGUUGGCAAGAUGGUCUGUGCCAAAUUAAUAGGUUUCCUUAGUGUUUCUUGGUUGCUUUAGUUUAUUAGUUGCUCCUAUACUGUGAUGUAACUAGUAGCAAUGAUAGAAUUUAGUAUAGAAGAUUGAUGUAAAUGAGUAGGAGUAGUCAAAGCUCUUAGUAAAGCUUCAACUUGUACUGAGAUGUAACUAGUGGCAACGAUAGAAUUUAGUAUAGAAGAUUGAUGUAAAUGAGUAGGAGUAGUCAAAGCUCUUACUAAAGCUUCAACUUGUAAUAUUUUUCAUAUUAAUGGAUAUAAUGGUUACCCAAAAAAAAUAACCUAACACGAGGAAUUUUUGAACCAACAUUCGUACAAAAAUAGGAGUAGAAAACAUAGGAUAAACCACAAAGAGAAAAAAAGGGCACGAUACAGAGAAGCGCUAGUCAUAAAUUUAGUAAGUAAGAGAAACGUGC